Molecule: long non-coding RNA, 259 nt
Filed under: Lathyrus oleraceus (garden pea)
Lineage: Eukaryota; Viridiplantae; Streptophyta; Magnoliopsida; Fabales; Fabaceae
Description: Pisum sativum (pea) long non-coding RNA (PSAT_LNC019680)
Source: RNAcentral
UUAGUUCUUUUUGUCUUUUGAAAUUUUAAUUCAAUAUGAUUAAGUUUAUUUACAAAUUUAAUUUAGGAAAAAGGAAGUUCAAAAAUUCAAUGGAAUAAGGUCAAAGUUUCUACUUGAAAUAAGGUAUAAGUUUGAAAUCACAAGCAAAGUUUUUUUUUGAAAAGGGGGAGAGAUUUUGAAAUUUAAUAAGUGGAAGAAGAUGAAGAGGAUAUCCUAAGGAUAAAAUUAAAAUUUAAGAGUUGAAAAGAUCUGACCAAUG